Molecule: long non-coding RNA, 1082 nt
Organism: Cyprinus carpio (common carp)
Lineage: Eukaryota; Metazoa; Chordata; Actinopteri; Cypriniformes; Cyprinidae
Source: Ensembl
ACUCAGAAGGCUCUGCAAAUGCAGCAACACAGCUUGGAAGAACUGAAGACAGAGCUUUCACUGCAUGAAGAUUGUGUUCAUCAGUGGGUUUCAGAUGGGCAGAAGGUAUUAUUUUGAUUUGCUUUGUAAUUAUUCUUAUCAUUGGCAGGUAAUAUAUAUAGAUGCUUUUGCAUUUUCUUGUGUAGAAAGUGACCGACAUGGGAGUGGUGAUAUGAGAAGGCUUCAAGAGGAAAUAGAAGGUCUAACAGUCAGCAUCAAAAGGCGUACACAGUGUCUGUACAGUCAAACAGAUAGCAACAAGCGGCGCCAUUCUUUGCGCCUCAGAAGGACUGAAGAGAAAAAGAAGCUAGUUGCUGCAGUGGAAGAGUACAACAGCAUAGCAGAUCCAUCCCAGAAGCUUGGCUCAGUUGAAGACUUCUUCACAGCUGAAACUGUUGCUUGGCCUUGGCAAAUCCCUAGCAGUACUGAAUCGGCUCCAUUUCUCCCCAAGAGGAAGGUGUUUGACAAGGUGAUGGCAGUGAGACACCUUCAGGAAGAGAGAGGUCUAAUUUGUAAGGAGAUGAAACAGCACUGGACGGUCAUGACACAGAUGAUGUCCAAAUUUGAAGCACUGAUUAAUGACUUAAGUUCAAAAUCUCUUUUGCCAACCCUGUCUGACACUGCAUGCAAAGGUCUCCUGUCCAUUGUUCGAAAGAAACAUUAUGAACUUAAACAUUUAAUACAGUUGGUAAAGGCAGGCUAUGUGAAAAUCUUCAGCCAACAAGAUUUGAUGUCUGACGAAGAAAAGCUUGAACCGGAAGAUGACGUGCAAGAGGAAGAAUUACAGAAAGCGACAACAGCUCCGAUGAUGAAAAUGAUUUUCCUUAACAGAAUAAAUGUAAAGUUUAUUUACAUAACCCCCCCCCCCCCCAAAAAAAAAAAAGAUAAUUGGAAUGUGAAUCAGACUUUUGCCUUUAAAUGUCACAUAGAGCAAUUCGAUCAGAAGGCCUGUUUGUCUGUCGGUGUUGAUUGUGUCAACUGUUCUGUAACUACUUGAUGUGUCUUUGAACAAUAACCUAAUAAAUUACACGUGGCUAAUUACA